RNAcentral lists this ribosomal RNA (500 nucleotides) under uncultured bacterium. Its description in RNAcentral is "bacterial SSU rRNA". It matches the Rfam family "Bacterial small subunit ribosomal RNA", at positions 29 to 521 of the family's 1533-position model. The record is from RNAcentral.
AACGAACGCUGGCGGCGCGCCUAAUACAUGCAAGUCGAGCGAGAAGGUGUAGCAAUACACUUGUAAAGCGGCGAACGGGUGAGGAAUGCAUGGGUAACCUACCCUCGAGUGGGGAAUAACUAGCCGAAAGGUUAGCUAAUACCGCAUACGUUUCCGGAACUUCGGUUUCGGAAAGAAAGCAAUACCGUGGGUAUUGCGCUCCUGGAUGGGCUCAUGUCCUAUCAGCUUGUUGGUGAGGUAACGGCUCACCAAGGCUUCGACGGGUAGCUGGUCUGAGAGGACGAUCAGCCACACUGGCACUGCGACACGGGCCAGACUCCUACGGGAGGCAGCAGUAAGGAAUAUUGCGCAAUGGACGAAAGUCUGACGCAGCGACGCCGCGUGGGGGGAUGAAGGUCUUCGGAUUGUAAACCCCUUUCGGGAGGGAAGAUGGAGUGGGUAACCACUUGGACGGUACCUCCAGAAGCAGCCACGGCUAGCUUCGUGCCAGCAGCCGCGGU